Molecule: ribosomal RNA, 137 nt
Filed under: uncultured bacterium
Lineage: Bacteria
Description: partial 16S ribosomal RNA
Rfam family: Bacterial small subunit ribosomal RNA
Source: RNAcentral
UGGGGAAUAUUGCACAAUGGGCGAAAGCCUGAUGCAGCAACGCCGCGUGAAGGAAGAAGGUCUUCGGAUCGUAAACUUCUGUCCUUGGGGAAGAUAAUGACGGUACCCUUGGAGGAAGCCCCGGCUAACUACGUGCC